Molecule: ribosomal RNA, 406 nt
Filed under: uncultured bacterium
Lineage: Bacteria
Description: partial 16S ribosomal RNA
Rfam family: Bacterial small subunit ribosomal RNA
Source: RNAcentral
AUUGAACGCUGGCGGCAGGCCUAACACAUGCAAGUCGAACGAGUGGCGGACGGGUGAGUAAUGUCUGGGAAACUGCCUGAUGGAGGGGGAUAACUACUGGAAACGGUAGCUAAUCCCGCAUACCAUCGGAUGUGCCCAGAUGGGAUUAGCUAGUAGGUGGGGUAAAGGCUCACCUGGGCGCAGAUCCCUAGCUGGACUGAGAGGAUGACGAGCCACACUGGAACGGAGAUACGGUCCAGACUCGUACGGGAGGCAGAAGUGGGGAAUAUUGCGCAAUGGGCUGAAGCCUGAUGCAGCCAUGCCGAGUGUAUGAAGAAGGCCUUCGGGUUGUAAAGUACUUUCAGCGGGGAGGCGUUACCCGCAGAAGAAGCACCGGCUAACUCCGUGCCAGCCGCCGCGGUAAUUC